Long non-coding RNA from Mustela lutreola (European mink), 1403 nucleotides. RefSeq lists it as uncharacterized. Lineage: Eukaryota; Metazoa; Chordata; Mammalia; Carnivora; Mustelidae. The record is from RefSeq and is a predicted model, not a curated record. The transcript has 2 exons.
ACCCCCCCCCCCCCCCCCCCCGCAGGAUGGAGUAGGAGGCGGGGCCUGGCGGAGGGCUCCUCUGGUGGGCACGCACGCCCUCUGGAAGCCUCCGCAUCUUCCCCAAAGCACCAGAGCGAGCGUUCAGGCAGCUCUGGGCGUUCCCAGCUGUCAGUCUGGUGGCCCGCCUCGGGCUCUGGGCCGCCAGUGCUGAUGGUGGAGCUAAGACAAGUGUAUUUAUUCCUCUGUCCCAGAGCCACGCCUCCUGCUGCCUGCACCCUGGCAGAGGGGAGGUCUCAUCUGAGCAGCAUUCUCAGUGACCUCGAUGUUGCCUUUAGACAAGGGUGGGUUUGCCUCUUGCAUAUGGGCUUUUUCAGAAUCAUUUAUGAGCAGAAAAAAACGUUAAAAUAAAACUUUGCUACUACUAACCCUUCUGCAGUUCCCUGAGGCUCUGUGAUUUGUGUCAUUGUUGGGGGGACAGCGGGAGAGGAGACAGGAAGGGGCCCGGCGCUUAUUUCUAAUGUGUGUUGGUGUUUGUCCUGUAUGGUUUGGACUGUACAGAAAACUAUGCACAGGAAGAAAAUACUGGACAUCCAGAGGCCGACGCCGGUUGCUCUGAUGAAAUCACAUGGCCCAUCGCGGCCUGCUGCUUCCCCCCUCAUCAGAUGGGCUUUUCCCUGGGUUCACACAUUCUCCAUAAGCCCAGGUGGAUCAUGAUUUAUUUUUAGCAAAUCCCCUACCCUUGGACAUUAGGCUGUUUCCAGCGUGCGGACCCUGGGAGUCCAAGCUUGAGACCCUCCCUUUGUGCCCAGCGCCCUCAGGCCCAGCCUCAUGCGCAUCGUCUCAGCAGUGUGAAAAGCUCCCUCCAGCCCUGGGUGGUACAACUCUGUAUGGCUUCCAUUGCUUUCCCCUCUGGCCAGCCCUGAAAAGCAGGGAGAAAUCACUGGCCUCCGUUUCUGCUGGAGAGAACAGCCUUCAGGUUGGAGGUGGGUCCCCAGCAAACAUGUAUGGAACACCUACCUCGUGCCCUGCUUGGCGCUGGGGUCCUGGCGCUGCAUCGUGGAAAAGGCUUCUGCGUCUGGAAGGUUUUAACGAUCGGCCCGUUUCACCCUCGCAGCGACCUGUCCCUUGCCCCACUGUGUAGCUCGGGAAGACCGAAGCGCAGAGAGAUGAGACGAUUCGCUCGGGAAAGUGCUGCCGCCGAGGAGGGCCGCUCGUGGGACGGGACGUCUCACCUCAUGAGCCACGAAGUGAGCACCUACUGGGUGCCGCGGGCCCCCGCAAAUAAGCAGCUGGCCAGACACCAGGCAGAAGUUUCAGAGAACUGCGGGAAAUGGCCAAUCUAAGGUGCAUGAGCCGGGCGCGAAAACGGAUUUUGUCUGAUCAAAAAUAAAAUACAGGGAGCCUGCUUCCCUUCCGCUCUC